RNAcentral lists this ribosomal RNA (254 nucleotides) under uncultured bacterium. Its description in RNAcentral is "partial 16S ribosomal RNA". It matches the Rfam family "Bacterial small subunit ribosomal RNA", at positions 524 to 777 of the family's 1533-position model. The record is from RNAcentral.
UACGUAGGGUGCAAGCGUUAUCCGGAAUUAUUGGGCGUAAAGAGCUCGUAGGCGGUUUGUCGCGUCUGCUGUGAAAACUGGAGGCUCAACCUCCAGCCUGCAGUGGGUACGGGCAGACUAGAGUGCGGUAGGGGAGAUUGGAAUUCCUGGUGUAGCGGUGGAAUGCGCAGAUAUCAGGAGGAACACCGAUGGCGAAGGCAGAUCUCUGGGCCGUAACUGACGCUGAGGAGCGAAAGCAUGGGGAGCGAACAGGG